Molecule: ribosomal RNA, 481 nt
Filed under: uncultured bacterium
Lineage: Bacteria
Description: bacterial SSU rRNA
Rfam family: Bacterial small subunit ribosomal RNA
Source: RNAcentral
UAGUCCACGCCGUAAACGAUGUUAACUGGGUUUUUGGGAUUUACUUCCAAGAGCCUGAGGGAAACCAUUAAGUUAACCACCUGGGGAGUACGUUCGCAAGUAUGAAACUCAAAGGAAUUGACGGGGGCCCGCACAAGCGGAGGAACAUGUGGUUUAAUUCGAUGAUACGCGAGGAACCUUACCCGGGCUUAAAUGUAGGUUGCAUAAACUAGAGAUAGUUUUUUCUUCACAGACUACCUACAAGGUGCUGCAUGGUUGUCGUCAGCUCGUGCCGUGAGGUGUCGGGUUAAGUCCCAUAACGAGCGCAACCCCUGCCACUAGUUACCAGCAUGUCAUGAUGGGGACUCUAGUGGGACUGCCAUCGUAAGAUGAGAGGAAGGUGGGGAUGACGUCAAAUCAGCACGGCCUUACGUCCGGGGGCCACACACGUGUUACAAUGGGCCGGUACAGGAGGGGCAGCUACAUAGCGAUAUGAUGCUAA